RNAcentral lists this ribosomal RNA (660 nucleotides) under Triticum aestivum (bread wheat). RNAcentral describes it as "partial small subunit ribosomal RNA". The record is from RNAcentral. Lineage: Eukaryota; Viridiplantae; Streptophyta; Magnoliopsida; Poales; Poaceae.
AUGCAGGGAUUUAGGUACAAUGAGGAGAGCCACAACUAUGCUCCACAACAGAUUUAUUCAGCUCCUACUCAUAUCCCUCAACACCAGGAGAUGUUGCCAAUGGAGUUAAAUGGUCCUCCAUUUGGUCAACCAACAACUCCAGCAACCGCCGAGAAAUCUCAUGUGCAAGUGCCCACACAAGAUGAAUUUGAUGAUAUAGACAAGCUCACAUUGCUUAGUCUCAAGUUCACUUGGAGUGCCGAGGAUGAUCCUAUUAGGAAGGUAAUACUAGAGGAAAUGAAGAAGAUCAAGAGUGGAAAAGAGAUAGUGGAAGAAGUAAGGAAGAUUGAGAAGAACAUCAAUGCCGGCAGCACUAUUUCUUCACAGCUUGAGCUGAGUGUUUCUGGGAUUCCCCUUGAUACAUGUGAGGUUCCAACACCUUCAUAUCCAGCCAAGGAAGAUAGCAAGUGCCUUGAGGAAGAGAUAUCUCAGAUUGAAGAAGAUGAACUAGAAGACAAGGAACAAGAUGACCAAGAGCUUGAAUGCCCAAGUGAUCAAGAUGAAGAUCCGUUGCAUCUCACUCCUGGAGAAGUAAAAGAAGCUCCUAUAGUUGAAGAUGAAGAACCAGAAAUUCAUUUGCCCAUCAUCAUGCAAGAGCGUGAUAUAGCAGGUUCGAGGUGA